UUAUAUCGUUACAGUGGUCUAUA
RNAcentral lists this non-coding RNA (23 nucleotides) under Arabidopsis thaliana (thale cress). The record is from RNAcentral. Lineage: Eukaryota; Viridiplantae; Streptophyta; Magnoliopsida; Brassicales; Brassicaceae.